GGGAAUAUUGCACAAUGGGCGAAAGCCUGAUCCAGCCAUGCCGCGUGAGUGAAGAAGGCCUUCGGGUUGUAAAGCUCUUUUAGUCGGAAAGAAAGAGUUGCAAUGAAUAAUUGUGAUUUAUGACGGUACCGACAGAAAAAGCACCGGCUAACUACGUGCCAGCAGCCGCGGUAAUACGUAGGGUGCGAGCGUUAAUCGGAAUUACUGGGCGUAAAGGGUGCGCAGGCGGUCUUGCAAGUCAGAUGUGAAAGCCCCGGGCUUAACCUGGGAAUUGCGUUUGAAACUACAAGGCUAGAGUGCAGCAGAGGGGAGUUGAAUUCCAUGUGUAGCAGUGAAAUGCGUAGAGAUGUGGAAGAACACCGAUGGCGAAGGCAGCUCCCUGGGUUGACACUGACGCUCAUGCACGAAAGCGUGGGGAGCAAACA
RNAcentral lists this ribosomal RNA (425 nucleotides) under uncultured bacterium. RNAcentral's name for it is "bacterial SSU rRNA". It matches the Rfam family "Bacterial small subunit ribosomal RNA", at positions 357 to 774 of the family's 1533-position model. The record is from RNAcentral.